RNAcentral lists this ribosomal RNA (400 nucleotides) under uncultured bacterium. RNAcentral describes it as "bacterial SSU rRNA". It matches the Rfam family "Bacterial small subunit ribosomal RNA", at positions 143 to 518 of the family's 1533-position model. The record is from RNAcentral.
ACAACAGUCCGAAAGGACUGCUAAUACCGAAUGUUGUGAGUUUUCCGCAUGGGAAGCUCAUUAAAGGUGGCCUCUACUUGUAAGCUAUCACUUAGAGAUGGGCCUGCGUCUGAUUAGCUAGUUGGCGGGGUAACGGCCCACCAAGGCGACGAUCGGUAGCCGGUCUGAGAGGAUGAACGGCCACAUUGGGACUGAGACACGGCCCAGACUCCUACGGGAGGCAGCAGUGGGGAAUCUUCCGCAAUGGGCGAAAGCCUGACGGAGCAACGCCGCCGUGAGUGAAGAAGGUCUUCGGAUCGUAAAGCUCUGUCGAAGGGGACGAACGUGGGUUCUAUCAACAACGGAACCUAAUGACGGUACCUUUCAAGAAAGCCACGGCUAACUACGUGCCAGCCGCCGC